RNAcentral lists this ribosomal RNA (301 nucleotides) under uncultured bacterium. Its description in RNAcentral is "partial 16S ribosomal RNA". It matches the Rfam family "Bacterial small subunit ribosomal RNA", at positions 509 to 807 of the family's 1533-position model. The record is from RNAcentral.
CAGUCGCCGCGGUAAUACGUAGGUGGCAAGCGUUGUCCGGAAUUAUUGGGCGUAAAGGGCUCGCAGGCGGUUUCUUAAGUCUGACGUGAAAGCCCCCGGCUCAACCGGGGAGGGUCAUUGGAAACUGGGAAACUUGAGUGCAGAAGAGGAGAGUGGAAUUCCACGUGUAGCGGUGAAAUGCGUAGAGAUGUGGAGGAGCACCAGUGGCGAAGGCGACUCUCUGGUCUGUAACUGACGCUGAGGAGCGAAAGCGUGGGGAGUGAACAGGAUUAGAUACCCGUGUAGUCCCUGUCUCUUAUAC